UGUAUUCGCUAAUUAAAACACUGUGAAUCUUUCCCUAGUACUAAGAUAUUCGUAAACUGAGAAAGCAGCAAAACACAGUCAGCCGCAACAGACAGAAGCCCAUCUUCAUCCCAUCCACGACUCAUGCCAAGGCCCGGAAUCCAUGCAAAGAAAUCCAUCUUACGAGAUUUUUCUAGGGUCCUGGUGUGGAUGGUGGGGACACGGACUGACGCCAGCCCUGGCUUUAUUGUACAGGCUGGCCCACUGAAACCCAGAGCUGUCUGUCUGCAUUUCAACACCUUCUUUUUGUUUUCCAUCCUUCAAAAGGCUCAACCAGUUCAAACAGCAGCUCCGUCUAGACAGCAACCCCAGCGCUGGAGCGGCCCAGCCACCUCUUCUCUCCUCCUUGCUGACUAUCGGUCAGGCUCUGCUGAACACGGUGAAAAGGCUCUUGGUCACCUGUUCACGACACCAACAACCGUGUUGUGGUUCUCUUUAAUCCUCCCACCACACCCCCACCCCCACCCCGAAACAGGGUUUCUCUGUGUAACAGCUC
Peromyscus leucopus (white-footed mouse) is the source of this 535-nucleotide long non-coding RNA. RefSeq lists it as uncharacterized. NCBI's taxonomy places the organism in Eukaryota, Metazoa, Chordata, Mammalia, Rodentia, Cricetidae. The record is from RefSeq and is a predicted model, not a curated record. The transcript is spliced from 3 exons.